GGCUUAGAGUUUGAUCAUGGCUCAGGAUAAACGCUGGCGGCGCACAUAAGACAUGCAAGUCGAACGGACUUAACCUAUAGUUUACUAUUGGAGCGGUUAGUGGCGGACUGGUGAGUAACGCGUAAGCAAUCUGCCUAUCAGAGGGGAAUAACAGUGAGAAAUCACUGCUAAUACCGCAUAAGCUGUGAGUAUCGCAUGAUACAAGCAGAAAAGGAGCAAUCCGCUGAUAGAUGAGCUUGCGUCUGAUUAGUUAGUUGGUAAGGUAACGGCCUACCAAGACGAUGAUCAGUAGCCGGACUGAGAGGUUGAACGGCCACAUUGGGACUGAGAUACGGCCCAGACUCCUACGGGAGGCAGCAGUCGGGAAUAUUGCGCAAUGGAGGAAACUCUGACGCAGUGACGCCGCGUGCAGGAAGAAGGUUUUCGGAUUGUAAACUGCUUUAGACAGGGAAGAAGAAGUGACAGUACCUGUAGAAUAAGCUCCGGCUAACUACGUGCCAGCAGCCGCGGUAAUACGUAGGGAGCAAGCGUUAUCCGGAUUUAUUGGGUGUAAAGGGUGCGUAGAUGGAUAUACAAGUUGGUUGUGAAAUACCUCGGCUUAACUGAGGAACUGCAACCAAAACUGUAAAUCUUGAGUACUGGAGGGGAAAGCG
Molecule: ribosomal RNA, 653 nt
Filed under: uncultured bacterium
Lineage: Bacteria
Description: bacterial SSU rRNA
Rfam family: Bacterial small subunit ribosomal RNA
Source: RNAcentral